Molecule: long non-coding RNA, 281 nt
Filed under: Setaria italica (foxtail millet)
Lineage: Eukaryota; Viridiplantae; Streptophyta; Magnoliopsida; Poales; Poaceae
Description: long non-coding RNA (SITA_LNC002522)
Source: RNAcentral
CAUGUGUGGCUAAUAUAGAUGCAAAUUUAACGGGUUACUUUAAGUUUUUAAGUAAUAGUGGUGGGCAAUUCGGUUGCAAAUUAGGGGGUUAUUUUAAAUAUUGUUUAUAAUGGUAUAAGUGGGUAAUUUUGAUGAAGAUUAGGGGGUUACUUUAGUUUAUUUUAUAUAAUGACAGAUGUGGGUAAUUUAUAUAUAGAUUUAGGGGUUACUUUAGGCUAUUUUUAUAAUGGCAUAGGUGGGUAAUUUUUUAGAAAACAUAAUAGAUCCAAUGGCUAUGAUGA